CGUUGAAACACUGGUUCUCGUAGCAUCACCAAAGUUAAGCAACGUCAAGCCUAGUCAGUACCGAGACGGGUGGCCGCAUGGGAAUACUAGGUGUU
This is a non-coding RNA of Acanthosepion pharaonis, 95 nucleotides long. NCBI's taxonomy places the organism in Eukaryota, Metazoa, Mollusca, Cephalopoda, Sepiida, Sepiidae. The record is from the annotation of a GenBank genome assembly.